Molecule: long non-coding RNA, 1226 nt
Filed under: Vulpes vulpes (red fox)
Lineage: Eukaryota; Metazoa; Chordata; Mammalia; Carnivora; Canidae
Description: lncRNA (ENSVVUG00000002565.1)
Source: RNAcentral
UGUUACUUUUCCUCCUUGAUGGGCCUACUUAAGUCACCAUUACUUAAAUACUGUCCCCAGAUCUGUCAUUUCUUUUAGGUGCUCUCAGCUAAAAUCUGAACAUUAUCUGAAGAAGGGAAGAGAAAAUGCACCAAGAUCUGAAAUCAAACUGAAGCUGUUUGAUAAUCAGCUUGGUUCUUCAGAGAAGAUGACUCAUGCCAGUAUGAUGACAAAGGUCACUAUGUGAUGGAUAUUCCUGGCCCAACUCCGGAAAGGCCUGUCAUUGUGUGGAGGGGUGAGGUGGGGUAGGGAGAUGGGGAGAGAAAAUUAGUUGAUGAUAUUUAUCUUGUUUGUUUUCUCCUAGAAAUUCUAAAAUUGUCUGGCUUCUUUUUACAGAGACAAGGAGCCAAAAACAAAACUAUCUAAUUUCUUGAUUUCUGUAGUGGAAAAGAUAAACAAGUUUUCUGGCUUUCAAUGGUCUUCUAUCAAAUACUGAGAAGGGUUGUGUAAAGUCAGGUCAUUGCAUGUUAAUUGAGCUUUUUUUCCUCUGAAAAUUCCUGCCACAGAUGCUCCAGAGAACAUUUACAAAACAGGCUCUAUCUUCAGAAAGCUUUAGCACUUUUUAUAAAAUCUAUUUUUAGAGAACUUCGGCGCUAGAUAGAAGAAAGAGUGAAUAUAGAGAACAGAAGAGAAGGGAUGAUCAGAGGAUAGUUUAUACUUGGAAAAAAGAAAAAAAAGAAAAAACCCUCUCUGCAUGCAGUGCCAUUGUUGACGAUGAUGACAAGAUCCAGGUUGCAAUCCUGUGAGCAGAUGGCUAGGUUGUGGUGGAGGGAAUAAUCUUUAUUUCUAAGGAGGUCAAGAGAAUUUCUACUUUUUAGAUCAUCUGCUUGAUGUUGAAGUUUCUAAAACUGAUGACAUGAUUGUGUGGGGAAGAGGAUGUCUAUCUGAGUGAAUUAGGGAGAGAAGAUGGACAUAACAACAAAGAGAACACGUAAAAUCUGAUGACAUGUUGAAAAGGAACUACAAUUUGUGAAAAAGGGAGAAUUUAUUUAGGUGUAAUGACUGGGCGUAUAAAACCUGUUAGCCUAAGGUGCUAAAGUGAGGUGCAUAAGUGGGUGCAAAAAGUGAAGGACCUGGAACCUCAGGACAUGUCCCCAAUAACUAGUUUAAGGAUGGAGAAGUCUGUUGAUCGCAGACCCUGAAUCUGGCACCAUAUGGUGGUAAGGGUUUGGGAGGAGAGGAGUUAA